CAGCUGAAUGAUAGUCGGGCUGAAGACUCUACUUGACUAGCUGAGAGGAGGUGCAUGGCCGUCGUCAGUUCGUACUGUGAAGCAUCCUGUUAAGUCAGGCAACGAGCGAGACCCACGCCAACAGUUGCCAGCUCGUCCUCCGGGAUGGAGGGGACACUGUUGGGACCGCUCUGCUAAAGAGGAGGAAGGAAUGGGCAACGGUAGGUCAGCAUGCCCCGAAUUAUCUGGGCUACACGCGGGCUACAAUGGGUGGGACAAUGGGUAUCGACACCGAAAGGUGAAGGCAAUCUCCUAAACCCAUCCUUAGUUCGGAUUGUGGGCUGCAACUCGCCCACAUGAAGCUGGAAUCUGUAGUAAUCGUGUUUCAAAAUAGCACGGUGAAUAUGUCCCUGCUCCUU
This 398-nucleotide ribosomal RNA is filed under the name uncultured Methanomicrobiales archaeon. RNAcentral's name for it is "bacterial SSU rRNA". It matches the Rfam family "Archaeal small subunit ribosomal RNA", at positions 940 to 1338 of the family's 1478-position model. Lineage: Archaea; Methanobacteriati; Methanobacteriota; Methanomicrobia; Methanomicrobiales. The record is from RNAcentral.